GAGUGGAGAUUAAUUCUCUCAUUUGUCCAGGUAUUUUGUCUUCAAUAGAGCCUCCACAGGUUACAUAAAUGAAUUUUCUUUCUGAGGGAGAUAAUCCUCCAUAGAAGAAUUGUAUAAGGGCCUUGUCUGACAUGUCAUGUUGAGGGCAUUCUGUGCAAAGUCUUUCAAACCUUUCCCAAUAAUCAUAUAGGUCCUCAGAUGGUUUUUGCUUUAUGCUUGUAAUUUCUCUUAUUAUGCC
This 238-nucleotide long non-coding RNA is filed under the name Manihot esculenta (cassava). Its description in RNAcentral is "long non-coding RNA (MESC_LNC002918)". Lineage: Eukaryota; Viridiplantae; Streptophyta; Magnoliopsida; Malpighiales; Euphorbiaceae. The record is from RNAcentral.